RNAcentral lists this small nuclear RNA (306 nucleotides) under Urocitellus parryii (Arctic ground squirrel). RNAcentral describes it as "7SK RNA (ENSUPAG00010015920.1)". It matches the Rfam family "7SK RNA". From Rfam's summary of the family: 7SK was discovered as an abundant small nuclear RNA in the mid-70s but a possible function has only recently been suggested. The record is from RNAcentral. Lineage: Eukaryota; Metazoa; Chordata; Mammalia; Rodentia; Sciuridae.
AGAUGUGAGAGCAAUCCAGCUGCAAGGUGACACACCCUGUUGGUGACCAGGGUUGAUUCAACGGAUCCGGCUGAGUAGGAGCGUGUCCCCUCCCUCCCUCACUGCUCCACGUGCGUUCUGUGUGUACUCAGUGGAAGAGGAUGACCUUCCCGGAUGGAGGAGGAUCAUUCUUCACUGGAGGAUACACAAGUAGCUACACUCCCCAGCUGGAACCUCCAAACCUGCCCCCAGGAAAGUUCCCAGGUGAUUCUAAGCAUAGCCAAGCUUGAGAGCCACUGCUUCAAGCCAAACUGAGAUCAAGGAUUG